AUUGACCGCUGGCGGCAGGCCUAACACAUGCAAGUCGAGCGAGCGGCGGACGGGUGAGGAAUGGCUGGGAAACUGCCUGAUGGGGGGGGAUAAAUACUGGAAACGGUAGGUAAUCACGCAUACCAUCAGAGGUGCCCCGCUGGGAUUAGCUAGUUGGUGGGGUAACGCCCCACCAAGGCGACGGUCCUUAGCUGGUCUGAGAGGCUGACCAGACACAAUGGAACUGAUACACGGUCCAGACUCCUACGGGAGUCAGCAUGGGGGAAUAUUGCACACUGGGCGAAAGCCUGAUGCAGCCAUGCCGCGUGUGUGAAGAAGGCCUUCGGGUUGUAAAGCACUUUCAGCGGGGAGGCGUUACCAGCAGAAGAAGCACCGGCUAACUCCGUGCCAGCAGCCGCGGUAAUAC
RNAcentral lists this ribosomal RNA (406 nucleotides) under uncultured bacterium. RNAcentral's name for it is "partial 16S ribosomal RNA". It matches the Rfam family "Bacterial small subunit ribosomal RNA", at positions 29 to 526 of the family's 1533-position model. The record is from RNAcentral.